This 910-nucleotide ribosomal RNA is filed under the name Methanosaeta sp. enrichment culture clone AP3. Its description in RNAcentral is "bacterial SSU rRNA". It matches the Rfam family "Archaeal small subunit ribosomal RNA", at positions 1 to 916 of the family's 1478-position model. The record is from RNAcentral. Lineage: Archaea; Methanobacteriati; Methanobacteriota; Methanomicrobia; Methanotrichales; Methanotrichaceae.
UUCCGGUUGAUCCUGCCGGAGGUUACUGCUAUCGAGGUUCGACUAAGCCAUGCGAGUCGAAUGUAGCAAUACAUGGCGAACUGCUCAGUAACACGUGGACAACCUGCCCUUAGGUUGGGUAUAGACCCGGGAAACUGGGUAUAAUACCCGAUAGGUCUCGAUUGCUGGAAUGCAUCGAGAUUUAAAGCUCCGGCGCCUAAGGAUGGGUCUGCGGCCUAUCAGGUAGUAGUGGGUGUAGCGUACCUACUAGCCUACGACGGGUACGGGUUGUGAGAGCAAGAGCCCGGAGAUGGAUUCUGAGACACGAAUCCAGGCCCUACGGGGUGCAGCAGGCGCGAAAACUUUACAAUGCUGGCAACAGCGAUAAGGGAACCUCGAGUGCCAGGUUACAAAUCUGGCUGUCGAGAUGCCUAAAAAGCAUUUCAUAGCAAGGGCCGGGCAAGACCGGUGCCAGCCGCCGCGGUAACACCGGCGGCUCGAGUGGUAACCGUUAUUAUUGGGUCUAAAGGGUCUGUAGCCGGCCGGAUAAGUCUCUUGAGAAAUCUGGCAGCUUAACUGUCAGGCUUUCAGGAGAUACUGUCUGGCUCGAGGCCGGGAGAGGUGAGAGGUACUUCAGGGGUAGGGGUGAAAUCUUGUAAUCCUUGAAGGACCACCAGUGGCGAAGGCGUCUCACCAGAACGGACCUGACGGCAAGGGACGAAAGCUAGGGGCACGAACCGGAUUAGAUACCCGGGUAGUCCUAGCCGUAAACGAUACUCGCUAGGUGUCGGCCACGGUGCGACCGUUGUCGGUGCCGUAGGGAAGCCGUGAAGCGAGCCACCUGGGAAGUACGGCCGCAAGGCUGAAACUUAAAGGAAUUGGCGGGGGGAGCACCACAACGGGUGGAGCUUGCGGUUUAAUUGGAUUCAAC